Molecule: long non-coding RNA, 1172 nt
Organism: Myotis myotis
Lineage: Eukaryota; Metazoa; Chordata; Mammalia; Chiroptera; Vespertilionidae
Exons: 3
Source: RefSeq, a predicted model, not a curated record
CUUAAACCCCGCCCCCAACUGGGCCCUGGGAGGUGCCGGGGGCUUCGAGGUUUUGUCUUCCCCUCCCCGUCCCACUCCGCGGGCAGGUGUCUGCGCCCCGAGAUGCCCUCCACGGGUGUGCGGGACCCCCUUUCCCCGCUUCGCUCCUGAUCUACGAAACUGGGGCCGUCCCAGAACAGCCUUUAGGAACAGGGGAUUAAUUCAGCCGAUCAUGCAAUAAGCAUGAAUUGGGCGCCUGCUGUAUGCAGGGGCUUGCGUUUAGCUGGGCUUUGGAGACCACACUUUCCAACCACUUUCCUGUCAUCUAGACCAACCUGAAUCUCUCAUUCCUUCUUCCAAGUUUCCAGCAAUAAGAGGAAAAAUAACUAAUGAUAAGGUUAGCGAAGACCAUUUGUUUAUUGGAGCUCAGAAACGCCCCUUAUUUAGAACAGGAGCUGCCAUUCGCUGACGUGCCCCUCCUCUCCUCGCCGUGAUUGGCUGAGGGGUGGGCUAGUGAGUCAGGCGGGGCCAAUCAUUGUGUCCCACUCAGAGUCCGUGAGAGCCUUUCCCUCAGUGUUUGCAUCUGGAUUUUGGGCGCAGGAGUCCUUUUGCCUGUGGCUGGUGGUGAGGCUGCGGAGGAGCAAGUCCAGAGCUCCCUGUGGCCACGGUCCCACCCCGGAGGGGAGCAUGAAGCGGACCCGGGGAGAAGCAAAGAAGGAAUGGCGUGCCCUGGUCGGUUUAGCUCAGGUUACGUCCGGAUGUCACCUGACACUUCGUUACCACGUCACCUGGUCGCCCGUGGACUCUGACAGUUUCUCAGGCUUUCUUGUUCUGACGACCUUGGCGGUUCUGAGGAGAGCUGGUCAAGUGCUUUGUAGAGCAAGCAUGUCAAACUCUCCGCCCACAACGAAUAUUUUUGCGGCCCAGCCAAUAAAACGGAUUUUCUUUUGAGCUGUCCUCACCCGCUGCACACGUCUUAAGGUACUUGGCCGGCCAAUGGCACGUCCAGGUUGCCCGGCAGUGGUCGAAGAGGAAGUCUGCAUUCAGAUACGCUGAAAGGAGGAGCUGAGAACAGACUGACUAUGCAUUACUUCCCAUAUCCGAUAUAAUAAAAGGCCAAUAUGCAAAUCGACUGAACAGCAGAAUGACCGGUCGCUGUGACACACACUGACCACAAGAGGGCAGGCGCUCAA